CGUUGGAUUAGGCAGUUGGCGGGGUAACGGCCCACCAAACCGACGAUCCAUAGCCGGACUGAGAGGUUGGACGGCCACAUUGGGACUGAGACACGGCCCAAACUCCUACGGGAGGCAGCAGUGGGGAAUAUUGCACAAUGGGGGAAACCCUGAUGCAGCGACGCCGCGUGAGUGAAGAAGUAUCUCGGUACGUAAAGCUCUAUCAGCAGGGAAGAAAAUGACGGUACCUGACUAAGAAGCCCCGGCUAACUACGUGCCAGCAGCCGCGGUAAUACGUAGGGGGCAAGCGUUAUCCGGAUUUACUGGGUGUAAAGGGAGCGUAGACGGCAGCACAAGUCUGGAGUGAAAUCCCGGGGCUUAACCCCGGAACUGCUUUGGAAACUGUGCGGCUGGAGUGCAGGAGGGGUAAGCGGAAUUCCUAGUGUAGCGGUGAAAUGCGUAGAUAUUAGGAGGAACACCGGUGGCGAAGGCGGCUUACUGGACUGUAACUGACGUUGAGGCUCGAAAGCGUGGGGAGCAAAC
This 522-nucleotide ribosomal RNA is filed under the name uncultured bacterium. RNAcentral describes it as "bacterial SSU rRNA". It matches the Rfam family "Bacterial small subunit ribosomal RNA", at positions 234 to 773 of the family's 1533-position model. The record is from RNAcentral.